This 490-nucleotide ribosomal RNA is filed under the name uncultured bacterium. RNAcentral describes it as "partial 16S ribosomal RNA". It matches the Rfam family "Bacterial small subunit ribosomal RNA", at positions 30 to 507 of the family's 1533-position model. The record is from RNAcentral.
AUUGAACGCUGGCGGCAGGCCUAACACAUGCAAGUCGAACGGUAACAGGAAGAAGCUUGCUUCUUUGCUGACGAGUGGCGGACGGGUGAGUAAUGUCUGGGAAACUGCCUGAUGGAGGGGGAUAACUACUGGAAACGGUAGCUAAUACCGCAUAACGUCGCAAGACCAAAGAGGGGGACCUUCGGGCCUCUUGCCAUCGGAUGUGCCCAGAUGGGAUUAGCUAGUAGGUGGGGUAACGGCUCACCUAGGCGACGAUCCCUAGCUGGUCUGAGAGGAUGACCAGACACACUGGAACUGAGACACGGUACAGACUCCGACGGGAGGCAGCAGUGGGGAAUAUUGCACAAUGGGCGAAAGCCUGAUGCAGCCAUGCCGCGUGUAUGAAGAAGGACUUAGGGUUGUAAAGUACUUUCAGCGGGGAGGAAGGGAGUAAAGUUAAUACCUGUGCUCAUUGACGUUACCCGCAGAAGAAGCACCGGCUAACUCCGUG